GCAGCGGUUUAGCUCAGUGGUUACUUCUAUCGAAUGGCUGAUAACUAGCUCUACCGACCUCCGGGUCAGGGGUUCGAACUACGGGCGCCGUCCGCUGUUUUU
RNAcentral lists this vault RNA (102 nucleotides) under Sander lucioperca (pikeperch). RNAcentral describes it as "Vault RNA (ENSSLUG00000012100.1)". It matches the Rfam family "Vault RNA". From Rfam's summary of the family: This family of RNAs are found as part of the enigmatic vault ribonucleoprotein complex. The complex consists of a major vault protein (MVP), two minor vault proteins (VPARP and TEP1), and several small untranslated RNA molecules. It has been suggested that the vault complex is involved in drug resistance. The record is from Rfam by way of RNAcentral. Lineage: Eukaryota; Metazoa; Chordata; Actinopteri; Perciformes; Percidae.